This 72-nucleotide transfer RNA is filed under the name Myotis davidii. It matches the Rfam family "tRNA". From Rfam's summary of the family: Transfer RNA (tRNA) molecules are approximately 80 nucleotides in length. Their secondary structure includes four short double-helical elements and three loops (D, anti-codon, and T loops). Further hydrogen bonds mediate the characteristic L-shaped molecular structure. tRNAs have two regions of fundamental functional importance: the anti-codon, which is responsible for specific mRNA codon recognition, and the 3' end, to which the tRNAs corresponding amino acid is attached (by aminoacyl-tRNA synthetases). tRNAs cope with the degeneracy of the genetic code in two manners: having more than one tRNA (with a specific anti-codon) for a particular amino acid; and 'wobble' base-pairing, i.e. permitting non-standard base-pairing at the 3rd anti-codon position. Lineage: Eukaryota; Metazoa; Chordata; Mammalia; Chiroptera; Vespertilionidae. The record is from Rfam by way of RNAcentral.
GCCCGUGUGGCUCAGUGGUAGAGCAUCACCUGAGCACUGAAGGGUUGAGGGUUCAAUUCCUAGUCAAGGGCA